AUUGAGAGGGUGGCCUAAAAUUAAGUCCAUACCGGACAAUAUUCAAGUCUUGACUGCCCUUGAAAGUCUCUUCAUAUCUCACUUUGAAGGCAUGGAAACUUUGCCUGAGUGGUUGACCAAGCUCUCUUCUCUUCAAAUUCUGGAAAUCUUUCGUUGCUCCAAGUUAAAGGAAAGUUGUGCAAUUGGUGGAAAAGAGCAGUACAAAAUUGCCCAUAUUCCAGAUAUCAGAAUCUAUUAAGCGAACAAGCGAAACGAAUGGUUUCAUACAAGACCUGCGUACUAUACUUAAGUGGAUCAUGGGUUAACAUUUUCUCUCCUCAAGAGCUCCAAUUCCCCUACUAAAGAGAUGUUCUCUGGUGUUAGCCAAGUGGAAGGUUUCUUAAAUUGGUCAAGAAUUUUUUUAGAAGUUAUUGCCAACGUGAUGCUCACUUUACAGCAAAAGCUGGAUAUUGCUUAUUGUUGUUGCUGCCAGAGUGGCUAACAAUUGCACACAGUCUAGUGGGGGUGUCAAUUUGAUUCCUAUCUGGUUGGAGUUCAUUAAAAUUUUGAUGCAAGGACCUUACUUAUCUCCCUAAAGUGGAUUUCAUGCAUUUGAUCACCAAAUUGCUAUGUCUAUCUGUUCAUAACUGUCUCAAAGUUAAAUAAAUAGAUGUGUUGAGGGCGAUGACACAUAUAUAUUGUUACAACAGUAUGUGUGGUGCUAGUGACAACAUAUAUAUUGUAUUCAGCUGGAAGAACAAUUUGACUAAUUCAAUGGAGUUUAGUAGAAGUUCUUUAAAGUUGAAGAGAAGGGAAGAUUCUACUUAGGAGCAGCAUAUGACAAUCAUGAUUCCCUAAAGCUGAUGCAUGUGCUCCCUCACCACAUUAUGCAAUAUAUUAGAUAUUUUAUUGUCCAAGAUUUUCAUCAUUAAAAGGAAGGAUGAGUUGAAGGUAAUGCCCCAGGUUUUCCAAGAUUGUCAUCUAAAACAGUUUGACUGUUAUGUCAUCCACCUAGUAGCAUCUUGAAGCUUAUGUGAUAUCAGAAAAAGCUGGUGGCAUAAUGUGCCGGUAGGAAGACUUGGUUCUUGAAUUUCAACCAAGGUCCGCUAAUGCGUGAACAGUGAAAAGAAGGAAUAAGAUAUUUCCUGCUGAACUCAGUCAUGGCGGUAAGGAUAGGAACAAUUAGAUUUCUUCCCCUACUUAUUACAAAUUCCAGGACCUACAAAAUUUUGAGGUGAAUUUGUAAGUUUAGAUGUCAUUUUAUCUUUAUUAUAUUGAUACCCAUUUAUAUCAUCAGUUUGAGUCAUUAAUAUUGAUUGUGUUGGGGUGGAGAAGCUCUGUAUCUCUUCAAGAAAUGAAUUCCAGGGACAAGAAUGCCCCUACCUUCCAGUAAAGAUGGAGUGCAAUCCCUCGCUUUGGACAUGUAAUUAAGUGGAAGGUUCGACACAGUAGUUGAAGGUUUAUUUUAACUUAUACACUUGUGAAGCCCUAGCUUACAGUCAAAACUACUGUUCACUUUGAAAAGGAGAGAGAACUAGUCAGAGUGGACCAGGGAUAAAAGAUUGUUCACUUUGAAUCACAAUAGAUGGACUUUUAAAUUGAUUUCAUUGCUUCUUUGUUAUUCACUAAAAUUUUGGCAAAUUGACAGCAGUGGGGAGUUUGAUGACUCUGUGCGAGUUAUAUGGAAUUCUUCAAGGUUGCACACAAGUCAAACAUUAUGUGGGUGGUGACCAAUGCUCAAGUUGCUGGCUCAUCUUUUUGAACAAGUAUGCAACUUGCAAGAAGCUGAGAUUUCUAUCGACAGGGGGAAGGAUGUGGUACCUUACUAACUAGUAGAUGCUGGAAAUACUUAAUUUCCCAAUUAGAGUUCUUGUACUUCAGCAUAGAUAAUUUAAGAUUGUCAACUAGAACCAUAACUUGUAUGUAUCUACAAUUGUUGAUUGGGUAUAUUCAGUAUCACCAUCGACAAUGCAUCAAGUUCUGACAAUUCAUCCCCUUUUCAAAUCUUCAGUAUGACUCCCUAACUUAAAGUUGCUGUAGCAGUGACUUCAACACUUUUCAAGAUUCUGAGAUUUGUGUAAGAAAUUGAAGAGCCCAAUUAGGAAAACAAAUUGAAACUCGAAUUUGAUGCAUUUUUUCCUGAGAUCAAGUUAUGGAUUUUGGAUUCUAUGGUCAGUCCACAAUCCAUGGAUGCUGAAGGAAUCCAUGGUGUGAUCUCGUAGUUCCUACAAGCUGGCACCAGGUUGUUGACAACCAACAAUAUAAUGUGAGGCUUAGCUUUUACACCAUAGUUACUUCCAUUUCCUAUCUAUAUACUAAGCAGUGGAUCAUUUUUACUGAACAGAAUUCGUAAUAGUUCAUCCACCUAUCAAAUCUUAUGUUGUUAUCAUGGCCUCAUAGAGCCCUUUGUUCCAGUGACUUCAACAUUUUACUGUACAUUGAGUCUUCUCUUUUCAUCAGCCUUGUUGUCCUAACUUAAGAGGCCAACUUGUUUGGGUGCCCCAGUUCAUACAAAUGUUCAUGAUGAUAUUUCCAUAAAGUUAGUAGAUAAGGGGAAAAGAGCGAGAUGCACAACAGUGGUUGAACUAGAAGGCAUUCUUACAUUGUUUGACUCUCCUGAGUAGCUCCAUAUAUGCAUGACCAUGCUGGCUUCUUUGAAUUGAACUUCUUAUAAAUUGGUUCUACUCAGUGUUACACAGGCCAUCAAACAAUAAAGCCAUUCCAAACAUGUUCUGCUGUCUCACUUUCAGCUUUGACAUCAUCAACCAUCGUUGAAACUUGCUCUAAACUAGAGCUUGUCCUUAGCAAGAAAGAACUGGAGUUCUCAAGAUUACAUGCCAAGUAUAUGGAUCAUGAUCAAAAGCUUUUACAGUGCUUCUCCCUUUUAUUAAUAUUGAGAAAUUUGUCCUCAGAUGAUCUUAGUUUUCAUAGUAGGUCAUUGUAUGUAAAUAACGUUGAUCAGGCAUACUUUGUUUUGUACUUGUAAUCAUUUUCAAGUUGUUUUUCAUUUUCAAAUUGUGUUUCUUGUUAGACUAUAAAAGGGCCAAUUAAC
Long non-coding RNA from Quercus lobata, 3031 nucleotides. RefSeq lists it as uncharacterized. The record is from RefSeq and is a predicted model, not a curated record. The transcript is spliced from 17 exons. NCBI's taxonomy places the organism in Eukaryota, Viridiplantae, Streptophyta, Magnoliopsida, Fagales, Fagaceae.